UGGUGGCGACCGGCGCACGGGUGAGUAACGCGUAUGCAACCUCCCUUUCAGAGGGGAAUAACCCGGCGAAAGUCGGACUAAUACCCCAUAAAACAGGGACACCGCAUGGUGAUAUUUGUUAAAGAAAUUCGCUGAUAGAUGGGCAUGCGUUCCAUUAGGUAGUUGGUGAGGUAACGGCUCACCAAGCCGACGAUGGAUAGGGGAACUGAGAGGUUGGUCCCCCACACUGGUACUGAGACACGGACCAGACUCCUACGGGAGGCAGCAGUGAGGAAUAUUGGUCAAUGGGCGAGAGCCUGAACCAGCCAAGUCGCGUGAAGGAAGAAGGAUCUAUGGUUCGUAAACUUCUUUUGCAGGGGAAUAAAGUGCAGGACGUGUCCUGUUUUGUAUGUACCCUGAGAAUAAGGAUCGGCUAACUCCGUGCCAGCAGCCGCGGUAAUACGGAGGAUCCGAGCGUUAUCCGGAUUUAUUGGGUUUAAAGGGUGCGUAGGUGGUUUGAUAAGUCAGCGGUGAAAGUUUGCAGCUUAACUGUAAAAAUGCCGUUGAAACUGUCGGACUUGAGUGUAAAUGAGGUAGGCGGAAUGCGUGGUGUAGCGGUGAAAUGCUUAGAUAUCACGAAGAACUCCGAUUG
This 631-nucleotide ribosomal RNA is filed under the name uncultured Porphyromonadaceae bacterium. Its description in RNAcentral is "bacterial SSU rRNA". It matches the Rfam family "Bacterial small subunit ribosomal RNA", at positions 86 to 715 of the family's 1533-position model. The record is from RNAcentral. Lineage: Bacteria; Pseudomonadati; Bacteroidota; Bacteroidia; Bacteroidales; Porphyromonadaceae.